UUCUUGGCAGGAAGCAAGAGGAAACCAAGACAAAUGGAAAUGUAGGUUGUUAUUUGACUGUUUGACAGGAGCUCUCAUCUCUUAUUUUUCAGAUGUAAUGAAUUGAUAUGAAGAAACUUAUUUGCAGGAAGCUUCCAGCUGCAAAUACUUUGCCUUUGUACUACUCUGAGUUGAGCAGCUUUUGCUAGAACACUUUUCAGGUGACCGCUCACAGAGUUUGGUUUGGUCUUCAGGAUGAGACUGCAGCAAGUUCUGACCUUAAGCCUGGCAGUUGUGUGUGCUCUCUGAGCUCUCGUAUCAGUUCCUCUAAAUCUGCAGCUACCCAGACUUGGACGGCCACAGACUGCAGCAGAAAGCUCUUUUUUUAAAAAGUGAAGUCCACGAAGACUGGUUUGGGGGAAAGAACAUCAUCAACACUUUCUGCUUUGCCCCACAUCCAGGCACUGACUUUUGCACAACUGCUACAGCUACGUUCUUCCUUCAGUCACCCUUUUGCUCUCAGCAAGUUAGAUCCAAGCAGCAGGCAGACUGCCAACCACAGCUGGACACACCUUAUCUAAGGAAUCCUCCUUACAUGUUUAUAUUAAUUUCUGGUAAUUCACAAAAUAAACCACUGUUUUUGUAAA
Non-coding RNA from Meleagris gallopavo (turkey), 626 nucleotides. The record is from RefSeq and is a predicted model, not a curated record. NCBI's taxonomy places the organism in Eukaryota, Metazoa, Chordata, Aves, Galliformes, Phasianidae.